CCCUUAGAUGUCCUGGGCCGCACGCGCGCUACACUGAUGCAUGCAACGAGUUUCACUUUUCCUGGGUCGAGAGGCCCGGGUAAUCUGUUGAACGUGCAUCGUGAUAGGGAUAGAUCAUUGCAAUUAUUGAUCUUGAACGAGGAAUUCCUAGUAAGCGCGAGUCAUCAGCUCGCGUUGAUUACGUCCCUGCCCUUUGUACACACCGCCCGUCGCUACUACCGAUUGAAUGGUUUAGUGAGGACUCCUGAUUGGCGCCGCCGCCCCGGCAACGGAGCAGCGGACUGCCGAAAAGUUGUUCAAACUUGAUCAUUUAGAGGAAGUAAAAGUCGUAACA
Molecule: ribosomal RNA, 334 nt
Filed under: uncultured eukaryote
Lineage: Eukaryota
Description: partial 18S ribosomal RNA
Rfam family: Eukaryotic small subunit ribosomal RNA
Source: RNAcentral